This 468-nucleotide ribosomal RNA is filed under the name uncultured bacterium. RNAcentral describes it as "partial 16S ribosomal RNA". It matches the Rfam family "Bacterial small subunit ribosomal RNA", at positions 28 to 507 of the family's 1533-position model. The record is from RNAcentral.
GACGAACGCUGGCGGCGUGCUUAACACAUGCAAGUCGAACGGAAAGGCCCUGCUUUUGUGGGGUGCUCGAGUGGCGAACGGGUGAGUAACACGUGAGUAACCUGCCCUUGACUUUGGGAUAACUUCAGGAAACUGGGGCUAAUACCGGAUAGGAGCUCCUGCUGCAUGGUGGGGGUUGGAAAGUUUCGGCGGUUGGGGAUGGACUCGCGGCUUAUCAGCUUGUUGGUGGGGUAGUGGCUUACCAAGGCUUUGACGGGUAGCCGGCCUGAGAGGGUGACCGGCCACAUUGGGACUGAGAUACGGCCCAGACUCCUACGGGAGGCAGCAGUGGGGAAUAUUGCACAAUGGGCGGACGCCUGAUGCAGAAACGCCGCGUGCGGAAUGACGGCCUUCGGGUUGUAAACCGCUUUCGCCUGUGACGAAGCGUGAGUGACGGUAAUGGGUAAAGAAGCACCGGCUAACUACGUG